Molecule: ribosomal RNA, 629 nt
Filed under: bacterium 54-L049640-122-012-F07
Lineage: Bacteria
Description: bacterial SSU rRNA
Rfam family: Bacterial small subunit ribosomal RNA
Source: RNAcentral
AGUCGAGCGAUCGAUGGGAGCUUGCUCCCUGAGAUUAGCGGCGGACGGGUGAGUAACACGUGGGCAACCUGCCUAUAAGACUGGGAUAACUUCGGGAAACCGGAGCUAAUACCGGAUACGUUCUUUUCUCGCAUGAGAGAAGAUGGAAAGACGGUUUACGCUGUCACUUAUAGAUGGGCCCGCGGCGCAUUAGCUAGUUGGUGAGGUAAUGGCUCACCAAGGCGACGAUGCGUAGCCGACCUGAGAGGGUGAUCGGCCACACUGGGACUGAGACACGGCCCAGACUCCUACGGGAGGCAGCAGUAGGGAAUCUUCCGCAAUGGACGAAAGUCUGACGGAGCAACGCCGCGUGAACGAAGAAGGCCUUCGGGUCGUAAAGUUCUGUUGUUAGGGAAGAACAAGUACCAGAGUAACUGCUGGUACCUUGACGGUACCUAACCAGAAAGCCACGGCUAACUACGUGCCAGCAGCCGCGGUAAUACGUAGGUGGCAAGCGUUGUCCGGAAUUAUUGGGCGUNAAGCGCGCGCAGGUGGUUCCUUAAGUCUGAUGUGAAAAGCCCACGGCUCAACCGUGGAGGGUCAUUGGAAACUGGGGAACUUGAGUGCAGAAGAGGAAAGUGGAAUUCCAA